AAUUUGCAUGGAGAUGAACACCAAAGUUGUGUUGCCCAAAUGCAGUCAUUCAAUGUGUUUGAAGUGCUAUCGGAAUUGGUAAGCUAACUAUUACAUGAUAUUUUGUUUGAAUGUAUGUGGUGGUGCAAGUGUCCUUGCUUUUGCUAUGAUAUUGGAACUGGCAAGGCAGGUGAAUGUGCAGGAAAGGAAAAAGUACAGUACAUGAGAGAAAACUCAAUUCAUGGCCUUCCAUACCCAAAUUGUCACAAAUUCAGGGAAUUCUGUGAAUUUCUACAUGAUCAUAGUAGUCUCUUUCCAGUGUCCCAAUAAAAAUGAAACAGUGGCUACUAAAUUCCCUUAAUCAACAUAUUUUCAAUUGAUAGGCGCAUGAAACUAGGGCCGUUUUUUAUGAAAAUUGAUGAGUAAUGAGAUCUCAUAUUGAAGCCACAUACACUUGAUCACAGCUGGGAGGUUUGGCCUGUUUUUUAGGUAGUUGUUUAAAUACUGCAUGUUUUCCUCCAUUAUGCUGUUGAGACUAUAUAAAUGGAAAUCAAUUUUGAAUGUGCUUUGUUUGGAACUUUACCAUAUAUCACUUAGUUGCUUGGUUUUUGGUAAUUUUUUUCAUUCCCACCAGUGUUUAGAAAUAACAUCUCUUGCUUAUGUGUCAUGUCAUUUAAGAAAUCUCUCCUUCCAAAAUAAUCCUCUGAAUCAGUCAUCUUAGAGAAGCAUCCAUGGAAGAUAUUGAAUUUCUGGUAAUAAGAUCAAUUAAGCUUUGUGGGGCUCUAAAGUUAGAGGUAGAAAUUAUGUAGAAAUUCAAUAGAAAAGAAUAUGCAAUGGAAAAUUCAAGAUUUUGUUAAGAGGUAGAAGUUUGUUCAAUUAAUUUCAAAGCGUAAAAAAGAGAUUUGAGAGUUGGAACUAGCUCAUGACAAAAAUAUUGGGAAUUCCUUUGGUGGUGCAUGAUAGCCUACCCCCUUUUCUCUUUUCAAGGGAAAUAAUACUAGGGCUUGGUGGACCAAGAACAUCUGGAUCAGGUUGUUCUGUUAUCAGAGUGCUUAGUCAUAUUUUAUUUGGUUGCUUCUAAAAUAAAUGCCUUUUAUUUAUUUAUUUGUUUCUAAGUCCUUCCAUCCUAUAAAAAUAAACCUACUGUUUUGGACAUAGUUUAAAGAAAUAAAUUUUAUUUAAUCUCUCCUUAAUAUACUUGUCUUUCAUAUUGUUUCACUAAAAAUUAAAUGACUCGUAUACUUGAUUGUUCUUGAAAUUAAUGAUUUUAAUUUUUCAAUGCAUAGUAAAUAAGGACGUAGUAAUAGAUUAAUAAAUAACUAUCAUUUCAAAGUGAUAUAUAAUUUAAAAAAAGAAAGUAAAUUUAUCUUUAUAAAAUGGAAGAACUAUGCUUUACUUCAAUUGGAUACUAUGAUAUCUUGUUAGGCGAGCAAGGUCUCAGUCUUGCCCUUUCUGCCGGGACAGCAUUAAGAGAGUUAACUCAGGCGACCUGUGGAUCUAUACCUGCAAAAAUGAGAUUGUUGACUUGU
RNAcentral lists this unclassified non-coding RNA (1508 nucleotides) under Hevea brasiliensis (rubber tree). Lineage: Eukaryota; Viridiplantae; Streptophyta; Magnoliopsida; Malpighiales; Euphorbiaceae. The record is from RNAcentral.